Molecule: long non-coding RNA, 1357 nt
Filed under: Salmo salar (Atlantic salmon)
Lineage: Eukaryota; Metazoa; Chordata; Actinopteri; Salmoniformes; Salmonidae
Description: lncRNA (ENSSSAG00000116835.1)
Source: RNAcentral
GCUGAAAGUCCGUAUUGCCCAGCGACAGCCCCGAAACCUGAAGGAUCUGGAGAAGGUCUGUAUGGAGGAGUGGGCCAAAAUCCCUGCUGCAGUGUGUGCAAACCUGGUCAAGAACUACAGGAAAUGUAUGAUCUCUGUAAUUGCAAACAAAGGUUUCUGUACCAAAUAUUAAGUUCUACUUUUCUGAUGUAUCAAAUACUUAUGUCAUGCAAUAAAAUUCUAGUGAAUUACUUAAAAAUCAUAAGAUGUGAUUUUCUGGAUUUUUGAUUCAGUAUCUCACAGUUGAAGUGUACCUAUGAUAAAAAUUACAGACCUCUACAUAAUUUGUAAGUAGGAAAACCUGCUAAAUCGGCAGUGUAUCAAAUACUUGUUCUCCCCACUGUAUAUAUAUAUGCACAUUUUGAAUAUUCCUUAUUUGUUAAGUAAAUAACGGAACCAAGAAAAGAUGGAACCAACAAAGGUGAUAUGAGAACACUCAGAGCAGGUGAGGGAACACUCAGAGCAGGUGAGGGUACACUCAGAGCAGGUGAGGGUACACUCAGAGAAGGUUAUAUGAGAACACUGAGAGCAGGUGAGGGAACAGUCGGAGCAGGUGAUAUGAGAACACUCAGAGCAGGUGAUAUGAGAACACUCAGAGCAGGUGAGGGAACACUCACAGCAGGUGAUAUGAGAACACUCAGAGAAGGUGAGGGAACACUCACAGCAGGUGAUAUGAGAACACUCAGAGAAGGUGAGGGAACACUCGGAGCAGGGGAUAUGAGAACACUCAGAGAAGGUGAUAUGAGGUCUCUCAGAGAAGGUGGGGGAACACUCCGAGAAGGUGAUAUGAGAACACUCAGAGAAGGUGACAUGAGCACACCCAGAGCAGGAGAUAUGAGAACACUCAGAGAAGGUGAUAUGAGAACACUCAGAGCAGGUGAGGGAACACUCAGAGCAGGUGAGGGAACACUCAGAGCAGGUGAGGGUACACUCAGAGCAGGUGAGGGUACACUCAGAGCAGGUGAUAUGAGAACACUGAGAGCAGGUGAGGAAACACUCAGAGCAGGUGAGGGAACAUUCGGAGCAGGUGAGGGUACACUCAUAGCAGGUGCUAUGAGAACACUCAGAGAAGGUUAUAUGAGAACACCCUGAGCAGGAGAUAUGAGAACACUCAGAGAAGGUGAUAUGAGAACACUCAGAGAAGGUGAUAUGAGAACACUCAGAGCAGGUGAGGGUACACUCAGAGCAGGUGAGGGUACACUCAGAGCAGGUGAUAUGAGAACACUGAGAGCAGGUGAGGGAACACUCAGAGCAGGUGAGGGAACAUUCGGAGCAGGUGAGGGUACACUCAUAGCAGGUGCUAUGAGAACACUCAGAG